GUGGGGAAUAUUGGACAAUGGGCGAAAGCCUGAUCCAGCCAUGCCGCGUGAGUGAUGAAGGCCCUAGGGUUGUAAAGCUCUUUCACCGGUGAAGAUAAUGACGGUAACCGGAGAAGAAGCCCCGGCUAACUUCGUGCCAGCAGCCGCGGUAAUACGAAGGGGGCUAGCGUUGUUCGGAAUUACUGGGCGUAAAGCGCACGUAGGUGGACUAUUAAGUCAGGGGUGAAAUCCCGGGGCUCAACCCCGGAACUGCCUUUGAUACUGGUAGUCUCGAGUCCGGAAGAGGUGAGUGGAAUUCCGAGUGUAGAGGUGAAAUUCGUAGAUAUUCGGAGGAACACCAGUGGCGAAGGCGGCUCACUGGUCCUGUACUGACGCUGAGGUGCGAAAGCGUGGGGAGCAAACAGGAUUAGAAACCCCUGUAUCC
Molecule: ribosomal RNA, 424 nt
Filed under: uncultured bacterium
Lineage: Bacteria
Description: partial 16S ribosomal RNA
Rfam family: Bacterial small subunit ribosomal RNA
Source: RNAcentral